This 497-nucleotide ribosomal RNA is filed under the name uncultured bacterium. Its description in RNAcentral is "partial 16S ribosomal RNA". It matches the Rfam family "Bacterial small subunit ribosomal RNA", at positions 28 to 507 of the family's 1533-position model. The record is from RNAcentral.
GAUGAACGCUGGCGGCGUGCCUAAUACAUGCAAGUCGAGCGAACGGACGAGAAGCUUGCUUUUCUGAUGUUAGCGGCGGACGGGUGAGUAACACGUGGAUAACCUACCUAUAAGACUGGGAUAACUUCGGGAAACCGGAGCUAAUACCGGAUAAUAUUUUGAACCGCAUGGUUCAAAAGUGAAAGACGGUCUUGCUGUCACUUAUAGAUGGAUCCGCGCUGCAUUAGCUAGUUGGUAAGGUAACGGCUUACCAAGGCAACGAUGCAUAGCCGACCUGAGAGGGUGAUCGGCCACACUGGAACUGAGACACGGUCCAGACUCCUACGGGAGGCAGCAGUAGGGAAUCUUCCGCAAUGGGCGGAAGCCUGGCGGAGCAACGCCGCGUGAGUGAUGAAGGUCUUCGGAUCGUAAAACUCUGUUAUUAGGGAAGAACAUAUGUGUAAGUAACUGUGCACAUCUUGACGGUACCUAAUCAGAAAGCCACGGCUAACUACGUG